UGCCGUGAUGUCGCUGUUUGAGGCAGAUGUGCUGACUUUGCACUGAUUAGGGCAUUUUCAAACCGUCUGAGC
RNAcentral lists this small nucleolar RNA (72 nucleotides) under Euglena gracilis. RNAcentral describes it as "Eg-m176 box C/D methylation-guide". The record is from RNAcentral. Lineage: Eukaryota; Euglenozoa; Euglenophyceae; Euglenales; Euglenaceae.